AGCGAACGCUGGCGGCGUGCCUAACACAUGCAAGUCGAACGUGAAAAGGGAAACCUGAGUAAAGUGGCGUACGGGUGAGUAACGCGUAGGUAAUCUACCCCAGAAUCUGGAAUAACCUGCCGAAAGGCGGGCUAAUACUGGAUAGAGCGAGGGAACCCGUAAGAGAGUUUUUCGGGAAAGGGAGCCCGCAAGGGCCUUCGUUCUGGGAUGAGCCUGCGUCUCAUUAGCUAGUUGGUAAGGUAACGGCUUACCAAGGCGAUGAUGAGUAGCUGGUCUGAGAGGAUGGUCAGCCAAACUGGAACUGAAACACGGUCCAGACGCCUACGGGAGGCAGCAGUGGGGAAUCUUGCGCAAUGGACGAAAGUCUGACGCAGCCACGCCGCGUGAGAGAAGAAGGCCUUCGGGUUGUAAAGCUCUGUCGGAUGGGACGAACAUCUUCAUAGUGAAUAGCUAUGAGGACUGACGGUACCAUCAAAGGAAGCACCGGCUAACUCCGUG
Molecule: ribosomal RNA, 498 nt
Filed under: uncultured bacterium
Lineage: Bacteria
Description: partial 16S ribosomal RNA
Rfam family: Bacterial small subunit ribosomal RNA
Source: RNAcentral